This is a long non-coding RNA of Peromyscus leucopus (white-footed mouse), 1585 nucleotides long. RefSeq lists it as uncharacterized. NCBI's taxonomy places the organism in Eukaryota, Metazoa, Chordata, Mammalia, Rodentia, Cricetidae. The record is from RefSeq and is a predicted model, not a curated record. The transcript has 4 exons.
GUUCAAGGCCAGCCUGGUCUACAAAGCGAGUGCCUGGACAGCCAGGACUAUGCAGUGAAAUGCCUGUUUCAAAACCCCACAAACUAAAACUUCUAAAUCCAUUACCAAGAUCUUGCUUAUUUUUAUUACGGGUGUCUGGUAGAGGCAAGGUUUGCUCAACCAACCGUGUUCUCAGUAGAAGAGACACUAUUUUCUUCCUGUUUGUGGAGCACUGUAUUUCAAUGAGAGGGGGCUUUUAUCCAUUUUGAAUACUCCUGGUAAACAAGGAAAUAAAUCUUUUACACAGCAGGAGUUAUUCUUUAUGGUAGCCAGCUUUUAUACCCUCACCAUGAAUGAACCAGUUAUUUUCUUAUUCUGUACACAGAACCACAGCAUUAUUCCAUUACUGAUAAUCACUGUGGCUAAUCUUGGUGGAAACUGUUCUCAUUUUUCUUCAAAGGUAAGCAGUGUGACUAGAAUAGCUUGAGACCUAGACAGCAGCCCCAAAUUAGAAAGCUCUUCUAGAAGGUACUGCUGUGAAAUUACUCACCACAAACACCCACUUCCCAAUAUUUUUCCAACACCAACAACCAGUAGCCAAUGUACAAUGUGUGUAAUGUGAGCUGACAGAGAAUUGCACUUGUACUAAAACUGUAAUUUUUGCCUAAUUCUAAUUUAGUUUUAAAGGUUUGAAAAAGGAACAGAUGGGACUGGCAGAUGUAAUUAAGGGAGAAAGAUAUCCAUUGCUUUAGACUGUGUACAUAGCAGAAUCAUUUAACUAAAUUGUUGAGUACCAUUAAAGGCUAAUUUUUGGGAGGAAGCACCCUUAUUAUUUUUUUUUAAUAACUGUUAUGCUGGGAGUUUUGCCUGAUAAUUACCAAAAGCUGAGUUUUCAGAAACUGCUUUAAAGUCUGGACUCCAUUUGCUCCUUCCAAAAAUAAUGAAACAGCACCGCAAUAAGCACUCUGAUUUAUUUUUAAAAAGUUGUCCCACACAGCAUUCAAUUCCCUAUUUCCUACAGUACAAAUAGCAAUGGUAUCUUCAACAGUAGAUGAGAUUAUUUGAGAGCUUCUGAGAUAGGCUUUAAGAAUGUUAUACUGUUUGUAACUCAUUAUGGUAAGUGGUGUUGAUAUUCCACUUCUGGAAAUCCAGGGUUUGCUUGCAGGCAGUUCAUGAAGCACACUUUGCUCUGAUCUCCCGGACCAAAGGAAGCAUUCCCUCCUGCCUGAAGCACCUCAGAGAUGUUCAACACAAAUGCGCUAUCCAUUCUCGCUUCAUUCAGUGAUGAUUUCCCCUAUUUUCCUGUGGUUCUUCAGGCAGUGGCCAUGCAGGAAGCUGAGACCAGCAGGUGAGGCUGUCCAGAGCCCCAGAAACCAGAUUUGACAGCCAAAAAUUCCAACAGUGCAAACCAUAAAGGAAACCAAACUGCCAUGGUAGCAUGUGCAAAGGAAAAAGCAUGGGCUGUUGAGGGCUGUCACUUGGCAUUGGACAACCAAUUGGUAUGCCUUUUCUUGGGAAGACUGUUGCACAGAUCCUAAUUGGUCUUAAUAAAAACCCGGAGCCAGAUAACAGGGUGAAAGCUGAAAUUUCAGAGAAGCAGAGCAAG